RNAcentral lists this transfer RNA (74 nucleotides) under Desulfosalsimonas propionicica. Its description in RNAcentral is "tRNA-Gln". It matches the Rfam family "tRNA". Rfam says of the family: Transfer RNA (tRNA) molecules are approximately 80 nucleotides in length. Their secondary structure includes four short double-helical elements and three loops (D, anti-codon, and T loops). RNAcentral also lists the same sequence under 4 other names. Lineage: Bacteria; Pseudomonadati; Thermodesulfobacteriota; Desulfobacteria; Desulfobacterales; Desulfosalsimonadaceae. The record is from RNAcentral.
UGAGGGUUGGUCUAGUGGCAAGACGACGGGUUCUGGCCCCGUUAACCCAGGUUCGAAUCCUGGACCCUCAGCCA